RNAcentral lists this ribosomal RNA (600 nucleotides) under Bacillus sp. WG-1. Its description in RNAcentral is "bacterial SSU rRNA". It matches the Rfam family "Bacterial small subunit ribosomal RNA", at positions 68 to 651 of the family's 1533-position model. The record is from RNAcentral. Lineage: Bacteria; Bacillati; Bacillota; Bacilli; Caryophanales; Bacillaceae.
UGGAUUAAGAGCUUGCUCUUAUGAAGUUAGCGGCGGACGGGUGAGUAACACGUGGGUAACCUGCCCAUAAGACUGGGAUAACUCCGGGAAACCGGGGCUAAUACCGGAUAACAUUUUGAACCGCAUGGUUCGAAAUUGAAAGGCGGCUUCGGCUGUCACUUAUGGAUGGACCCGCGUCGCAUUAGCUAGUUGGUGAGGUAACGGCUCACCAAGGCAACGAUGCGUAGCCGACCUGAGAGGGUGAUCGGCCACACUGGGACUGAGACACGGCCCAGACUCCUACGGGAGGCAGCAGUAGGGAAUCUUCCGCAAUGGACGAAAGUCUGACGGAGCAACGCCGCGUGAGUGAUGAAGGCUUUCGGGUCGUAAAACUCUGUUGUUAGGGAAGAACAAGUGCUAGUUGAAUAAGCUGGCACCUUGACGGUACCUAACCAGAAAGCCACGGCUAACUACGUGCCAGCAGCCGCGGUAAUACGUAGGUGGCAAGCGUUAUCCGGAAUUAUUGGGCGUAAAGCGCGCGCAGGUGGUUUCUUAAGUCUGAUGUGAAAGCCCACGGCUCAACCGUGGAGGGUCAUUGGAAACUGGGAGACUUGAGUGCAG